UGGGGAAUAUUGGACAAUGGGCGCAAGCCUGAUGCAGCCAUGCCGCGUGUAUGAAGAAGGCCUUCGGGUUGUAAAGUACUUUCAGCGGGGAGGAAGGUGUUGAGGUUAAUAACCUCAGCAAUUGACGUUACCCGCAGAAGAAGCACCGGCUAACUCCGUGCCAGCAGCCGCGGUAAUACGGAGGGUGCAAGCGUUAAUCGGAAUUACUGGGCGUAAAGCGCACGCAGGCGGUCUGUCAAGUCGGAUGUGAAAUCCCCGGGCUCAACCUGGGAACUGCAUUCGAAACUGGCAGGCUAGAGUCUUGUAGAGGGGGGUAGAAUUCCAGGUGUAGCGGUGAAAUGCGUAGAGAUCUGGAGGAAUACCGGUGGCGAAGGCGGCCCCCUGGACAAAGACUGACGCUCAGGUGCGAAAGCGUGGGGAGCAAACA
RNAcentral lists this ribosomal RNA (427 nucleotides) under uncultured bacterium. Its description in RNAcentral is "partial 16S ribosomal RNA". It matches the Rfam family "Bacterial small subunit ribosomal RNA", at positions 355 to 774 of the family's 1533-position model. The record is from RNAcentral.